RNAcentral lists this ribosomal RNA (490 nucleotides) under Margarya bicostata. RNAcentral's name for it is "partial 16S ribosomal RNA". It matches the Rfam family "Bacterial large subunit ribosomal RNA", at positions 1854 to 2608 of the family's 2925-position model. Lineage: Eukaryota; Metazoa; Mollusca; Gastropoda; Architaenioglossa; Viviparidae. The record is from RNAcentral.
AGACCUGCCCGGUGAAUAUUUAUUUAAACGGCCGCGGUAUUUUGACCGUGCAAAGGUAGCAUAAUCAGUUGUCUUAUAAUUGAAGACUGGAAUGAAUGGUUAAACGAAAUUAGAGCUGUUUCAUUUGUAUUUAUUAGAAAUUGGCUUUUAAAUGAAGAGAUUUAAAUUUGAUUAAGGGACAAGAAGACCCUAUUGAGCUUUAAAUAAUUUUAAGGGUUAAAGUUAUUAUAAAGAUCUAUGAUCUUUAGUAUUUUUUUAGUUGGGGCGACUAAGGAACAGGCGAAGCUUCCUUUAUUUAUUUAAUUGAUAGAUUUUGAUCCUGUAUUACUGAUUAAGAGAAAUAGUUACCAUAGGGAUAACAGCAUAAUCUUCUUGGAGAGUUCUUAUUAAAAAGGGGGGUUGUGACCUCGAUGUUGGACUAAAAUAUCCUAAGGGUGUAGAAGCUUUUAAGGGUUGGUCUGUUCGACCAUUAAAAUUUUACGUGAUCUGA